GCCUAACUGACGAGUUCCAAAUUGGACGAAACACAUGUCUUGUAU
Molecule: non-coding RNA, 45 nt
Filed under: Schistosoma margrebowiei
Lineage: Eukaryota; Metazoa; Platyhelminthes; Trematoda; Strigeidida; Schistosomatidae
Source: RNAcentral